UUAAUCGUAAACACAGGCAGUCAUUACAAACCACUGCUCGCCAGAGAAGUACAAGUGAAAAACUAGAAACUCAAAGGACUUGGCGGUGUCCCAUAUCAACCUAGAGGAGCCUGUCCCGUAAUCGAUACUCCACGCUUAACCCAACCUGCCUUUGCCAACCAGCCUAUAUACCGCCGUCGCCAGCCUGCCUAAUGAUAGAUCUGAAGCAGGCACAAUUAGUCCCCCUAAACAUGUCAGGUCAAGGUGUAGCUAAUAAGCAGGUGUCAGAUGGGCUACAUUUUCUAAACACAAGAAAAACACUGCAGACAACAUGAAACAUAAGCCGAAAGACGGAUUUAGCAGUAAGCUGGGUAAGAAAACCCAACUGAAAAUUGCCCUGGGACAC
Molecule: ribosomal RNA, 385 nt
Filed under: Ptyodactylus cf. hasselquistii
Lineage: Eukaryota; Metazoa; Chordata; Lepidosauria; Squamata; Phyllodactylidae
Description: partial 12S ribosomal RNA
Rfam family: Bacterial small subunit ribosomal RNA
Source: RNAcentral